AUGAUGCAGGGUUGCGAUGCAGUUGACUUGGUGGACGAGGGCCAGCGAGGCCGGAGGCGGAGCAAGGCGGCGGCGGACUGGGCCUUGGGCGUCGCGGCCGGAUUGAGCAGUGCUCGAUGCAGAGGUGGGCGCUGGCUCGCUGCUCCUCCCGAGACGAAGCAGGGGUGCGAUGCAGUUGACUUGGUGGACGAGGGCCGGCGCCUUGACGACUCCGGCAAGGCAGAGAGGCCUAGGACGGACACGGGGAAGACGGAUCCGUCCGUUUGCCGGCUGGAUCGGGAGGUGGGCAAGCCCAGGCGGUGUGUGGCAACGGUUGAAGGUGCCGGCGGCCAUGAAGCUCCGAUGGUGGCGCUGCACAGAGUAAAAAAACGGAGGGAGCUGAGGUCAGGCAGGAGAUGGAGAGCACGGGAACGAGGAGAGGCCGAGGCGCAACUGUGUGUGCUCUGCUCACCGGCGGCCUAG
RNAcentral lists this ribosomal RNA (462 nucleotides) under Triticum aestivum (bread wheat). RNAcentral describes it as "partial small subunit ribosomal RNA". Lineage: Eukaryota; Viridiplantae; Streptophyta; Magnoliopsida; Poales; Poaceae. The record is from RNAcentral.